CGCGUAGGCGGGCUGUUAAGUCGGGGGUGAAAUCCCGGGGCUCAACCCCGGAACUGCCCUCGAUACUGGCAGCCUAGAGAUCGAGAGAGGCGAGUGGAAUACCGAGUGUAGAGGUGAAAUUCGUAGAUAUUCGGUGGAACACCAGUGGCGAAGGCGGCUCGCUGGCUCGAUACCGACGCUGAGGUGCGAAAGCGUGGGGAAGCAAACA
RNAcentral lists this ribosomal RNA (208 nucleotides) under uncultured bacterium. Its description in RNAcentral is "partial 16S ribosomal RNA". It matches the Rfam family "Bacterial small subunit ribosomal RNA", at positions 568 to 774 of the family's 1533-position model. The record is from RNAcentral.